UAGUUAUUUCAGUUAAUCCUAGCACCAUGCAUGCAGGACAUGCUCUUGGAAGGAAAUAUUGUGAAGUUGUUAUCAGGUUUGUGAUGAAAAGGGAUGCAAAGCUACCUCGCCCGUAUCCUGGUGUGCAAGAGAUGGCUGAUGCUAAGGACCUGUCAAUUGCAUGGCCAUAUAACAGGAUCAAGAAAUGCAAGCCUAAAAAACCAUCCCAUGGAACAGGUAGUGGGAAGAAGUAGCUGGAAGUAGAAUGCAGCCAAUGAUUGGAUCAAAGUGCUCAUGACAAUGUGUUUUUGACUUUUUAGCUAUAGAUAAAAACUUGGGUUGGACUUACUAGAGGUGGAUCAUUUUGUAAAGAGUGGAAGUGAACUAUGAGACCUGGGUUGUGGAAUCGAAUACCUCUUGCAUUUUGGCUAAGCUUA
Molecule: long non-coding RNA, 416 nt
Organism: Sorghum bicolor (sorghum)
Lineage: Eukaryota; Viridiplantae; Streptophyta; Magnoliopsida; Poales; Poaceae
Exons: 3
Source: RefSeq, a predicted model, not a curated record